CCCAUAAUUCAUUCAAAGUGUGAUUCGGAAAAUUUCUGCUUCUCACUUUCAAAGAUGUAUAGUUUGCUUCUGGAGACAUAAAUCAAGGACUCCAAGGAGAAGCAUAGGUUGUUCAAUGCUAUUGAAAACAUUCCUUGUGUGUGGGGCUAGAAAGCUAAGUGGGCAUUGGAUUGGAUACAUGAGGCCGUAUACAUCAUUCUUCUUUGACGCUUUUGAAAUUAACAAUACAUAAAAACUUCACCAAGAGGAUGAUUAAAAGUACGUCUGAGCCUGUGUUCCUGUUGGAACACAUGCCUCCAAUAGUAAUUUCUCAUUCUUCUCCAUUUUCCAUUCCACACUUUUUGGAGAGAGACUGGUUGCUUUUUCUUGUGUUGAAGGAGUCUUUUUCUCAGAAAGCUUCUGCACCAUUUUCUGGCUUAAAAAGAGAGGCUUGAUGCCAGUUUUGACAUUCUCGAACGAACUAAUAUCUAGAGAUGAGGGGCUACAUUGUGACUUUGCUUGCCUUCUUUUAUAGUUUGUUGCAGAAGCAACUUCAUUGGCAAAAAGUUCAUCAUAUUAAUUGUUGGUGAAGCAGUGGAAAUUGAGACCAAGUUUGUCUGUGAAGCCCUACCAUGUGCAUUGAUCAGCACGAAUGCAACACUCAUGAGCGAGUGCAUAUAGUUUGUGUCUGACUGUCU
Long non-coding RNA from Populus trichocarpa (black cottonwood), 677 nucleotides. RefSeq lists it as uncharacterized. The record is from RefSeq and is a predicted model, not a curated record. The transcript has 3 exons. NCBI's taxonomy places the organism in Eukaryota, Viridiplantae, Streptophyta, Magnoliopsida, Malpighiales, Salicaceae.